Long non-coding RNA from Sorex fumeus (smoky shrew), 215 nucleotides. RefSeq lists it as uncharacterized. The transcript is spliced from 2 exons. Lineage: Eukaryota; Metazoa; Chordata; Mammalia; Eulipotyphla; Soricidae. The record is from RefSeq and is a predicted model, not a curated record.
CCCAGAGUUCCAGUGGAAACUCCUGAUAGGGACCAGGACGAACCCUCAGUUCUGGGUGACCAAAAGAGGAAGACGCCAGCCAAAUGGGCUGAGACCAGAGGACGAAGCUUUCUUUCCUAGAACACUGCUGAUACCAAGCAAGCAUGUCACAAGAGAAAGCCAAAUGACUGUGAAACUAGUACGAGUCAUACCCCAAGUGAGCUGUUAUUGUCAUU